AAGUCGUAACAAGGUAACCGUAGGUGAACCUGCGGUUGGAUCAUUAUUGAAUCUUUAAAUUUUUUUUUCUUUCCAAUUCAAAUUUUUUUUUGAAGAGGGAAUUAAAAAAAAAAACGGAGGGUUUAAACCACCCUCUAACACAUAAUGUUAACCUGUUUUUAGACUGAAAAGUCAAAGUUUUUGGUGGUUCUUUUUUCUUUGAAUCUCCUUUUUCUUUUUUUAUUAAAAAAAAAUUGAAAUUCAAGGAAAAGAGGCCACCGGUUAAUAACAUUUAUAUUUUUUUAUUAGUCUAUUGAUUUCUUACAAAAGAAAAAAAAACAACUUUUGACAACGGAUCUCUAGGCUCUC
Molecule: unclassified non-coding RNA, 348 nt
Filed under: fungal sp.
Lineage: Eukaryota; Fungi
Description: partial internal transcribed spacer region
Rfam family: Eukaryotic small subunit ribosomal RNA (bases 1-46)
Source: RNAcentral